This 551-nucleotide ribosomal RNA is filed under the name Exilia krigei. Its description in RNAcentral is "partial 16S ribosomal RNA". It matches the Rfam family "Bacterial large subunit ribosomal RNA", at positions 1798 to 2613 of the family's 2925-position model. Lineage: Eukaryota; Metazoa; Mollusca; Gastropoda; Neogastropoda; Ptychatractidae. The record is from RNAcentral.
GCCUGUUUAUCAAAAACAUGGCUCCUUGUAACCUUAUAAAUAAGGAGUCGUACCUGCCCAGUGAAUAUUAUUUUUAACGGCCGCGGUACCCUGACCGUGCAAAGGUAGCAUAAUCAUUUGCCUUAUAAUUAAAGGCUAGUAUGAAUGGUUUGACAAGAAUACAACUGUCUCUUUAUUAAUAUAUAGAAUUUUAUUUAUAAGUGAAGAAGCUUAUAUAAUAUUAAAAGACAAGAAGACCCUAUCGAGCUUUAAAGAAAUUAAUAGAUUACCUCAUUAAUAUUUAUAAAAAAUUAACUAUUAAAAAAUUUUGGUUGGGGCGACUGAGGAACAAAAAAAGCUUCCUUUAUAAAAGUAAGAAUAGUCAAAUAUUGAUCCAAAAGUUUUUGAGCAAGGAAAUUAGUUACCGUAGGGAUAACAGCAUAAUCUUUUUUGAGAGUUCUAAUCGAAAAAAAGGUUUGUGACCUCGAUGUUGGACCAGAAUAUCCCAAAGAUGCAGCAGUCUUUAAAGGUUGGUCUGUUCGACCAUUAAAAUUCUACGUGAUCUGAGUUCA